AUCGCUUCUCGGCCUUUUGGCUAAGAUCAAGUGAAAGAACAAACAUUUUGAAUUUUGGUGGGGUCAUGAGAAUACUGAUAAUUUAUUUUUCUUUCUGUGAGUCAAAAAGAUUAGAUUUUUAAAAUCCA
RNAcentral lists this small nuclear RNA (128 nucleotides) under Fukomys damarensis (Damara mole-rat). RNAcentral's name for it is "U2 spliceosomal RNA". It matches the Rfam family "U2 spliceosomal RNA". From Rfam's summary of the family: U2 is a small nuclear RNA (snRNA) component of the spliceosome (involved in pre-mRNA splicing). Complementary binding between U2 snRNA (in an area lying towards the 5' end but 3' to hairpin I) and the branchpoint sequence (BPS) of the intron results the bulging out of an unpaired adenosine, on the BPS, which initiates a nucleophilic attack at the intronic 5' splice site, thus starting the first of two transesterification reactions that mediate splicing. Lineage: Eukaryota; Metazoa; Chordata; Mammalia; Rodentia; Bathyergidae. The record is from Rfam by way of RNAcentral.